UACGAAGGGGGCUAGCGUUGCUCGGAAUCACUGGGCGUAAAGCGCACGUAGGCGGACUCUUAAGUCGGGGGUGAAAUCCCGAGGCUCAACCUCGGAACUGCCUUCGAUACUGGAAGUCUUGAGUCCGGGAGAGGUGAGUGGAACUCCGAGUGUAGAGGUGAAAUUCGUAGAUAUUCGGAAGAACACCAGUGGCGAAGGCGGCUCACUGGCCCGGUACUGACGCUGAGAUACGAAAGCGUGGGGAGCAAACAGG
Molecule: ribosomal RNA, 253 nt
Filed under: uncultured bacterium
Lineage: Bacteria
Description: partial 16S ribosomal RNA
Rfam family: Bacterial small subunit ribosomal RNA
Source: RNAcentral